GUCUUUUUGAAAUAAUUUAAAGUCUAAUCUGCCCACUGAUAAAAAAUUAAAGGGCUGCAGUAUAAUGACUGUACAAAGGUAGCAUAAUCAAUAGUUUUUUAAUUGAAAACUUGUAUGAAAGAUUUGAUGAAAUAUGGACUGUCUCUAAUUUAUAAAUUGAAUUUUAUUUUUUAGUAAAAAAGCUAAAAUAAAUUUAAAAGACGAGAAGACCCUAUAGAGUUUUAUAUUUAAUUUUAUUUUAAAAUUAUAUAAAAAUUAAUAUUAAAAAUAAAAUUAAAUAUUAUAUUGGGGUGAUAGAAAAAUUAAAUUAACUUUUUUUAAAAAUUAAACAUAAAUAAAUGAUUAUAUGAUCCAUAGAUAAUGAUUAUAAGAAAAAAUUACCUUAGGGAUAACAGCGUAAUAUUUUUUUUUAGUUCAAAUAAAAAAAAAAGUUUGCGACCUCGAUGUUGGAUUAAGAUAAAAUUUAAAUGCAAAAGUUUAAAAUUUUGAUCUGUUCGAUCAUUAAAAUCUUACA
This 514-nucleotide ribosomal RNA is filed under the name Melanargia titea. RNAcentral's name for it is "partial 16S ribosomal RNA". The record is from RNAcentral. Lineage: Eukaryota; Metazoa; Arthropoda; Insecta; Lepidoptera; Nymphalidae.